This 1913-nucleotide long non-coding RNA is filed under the name Sus scrofa (pig). Its description in RNAcentral is "lncRNA (ENSSSCG00040064869.1)". The record is from RNAcentral. Lineage: Eukaryota; Metazoa; Chordata; Mammalia; Artiodactyla; Suidae.
CUGCGACGAGAAGAGCAGGAUAUUCCUCCCGGGUUUCACUAGAAGCAAAGCGUCCUGAGGCCUGGUGCCUUCAGUGCCUUCACAAAGACCCCCUUCUCUGCUUUAAGUGAAAGCUAGAGGAAUGAAGGGCACUUGGCCUGGGAGACCACCCAAGAACAGUGCUUCGUUCAUCACCCGGAGACAGUGGCCUGUUCAAAAGAGGAUUUCUCAACGUUGACUCACCAGAACCUUCACACUCUGCAGGAUUGAUAUUCCUCUUUGAGAUGCAAGCAGAUGCCUCCACCAACUAUCUCGAACCGGAAUGCCGCAGCCUCCCCUUCGUCCGCAUUUAUCCUUGGCAGGAGCACUGUCUAUUUUGGGAAGGACGAAUCCCUGAGGACACCUGCAAAGGACUGGAAGCUCUUAGCAACUCCUUGACCUGAGAGUGAGGAACCGAGUGGCGGGGAGCCCCAGGACCUGCCCAUCAUCACGUCUCUGCAGUGGCCUUGCCACAACCUGCCCGGCGGGUUCUCCUGGAUUGGGGGAAGGUCUGGACCCGUGUCCCUCGGGGGUUCUCCUAGGUCUCUUAUGGAGGAGGUGGCAGGGCAGGGAAUUGCUCAGUGACUUUCGACUCCAUUUCCAAGGCACAUGCAUUGUUAAGUGCUAAGACUUCUGUAAGAUAGUUGGAGUGGAAAAUGGAACCCUUAAUCCUAGACCCUAAAGUUCAACUCUUUCAUGAUCGCUACAAUGGGUGCUAAAGAGAAGAGAACAGAGGAAACAGUCUGGGCAAAUGUAUCCUGUUUGUUGUUAUGGGGCUUUGGUCUCAAAUCUCUGUGGUUGAGCUGAGCUAGUUUGGAGCAUGUGUCAGCUGUGAGCAUGCCCUUUGCCUGUCUAAAUUCAGGUGGAAGACGAAAAGCCUAAUGAUAAGUUCAAGGUCAAAUAAGUCUAAAUAUGAAUAAGAAGCAAUAAAGCAUAGUCCUAAAGUCAGAUGUGAAAGCGAGAGAAUGUGAUGCUUAUGGAUGAGAAAAGUGAGACAGGCCUUAUGGAAUCUCCAGCUUUCAUGCUGGACUUUGUUUGGUAUAGAACCUUCUCAGCAUGGUGCUAGGAUGCUCCCUUCUCAGGAAAUAGCUCAGAUGGGAGAAACCUUGAGCUUCUCCCAGUAGCUGAAAGGUGCCUCAAACAUUCAUUACAGCUUCUUAGACAGAGUUCGCUGAGGAAAGUUGUGUUCCCUGGGGCUGAAAAUUCUAGUAGACUGUAGGUGCUUUCAAACUUUGUGGUUUUUAUUUAUUUUUAUUUUAAAAAUUUUUUUGAAAGAUACUUCUUUUAGGCAUAGAAACUUAUACAGAACUCUAAUAUGUAACUGGUUAAAAUGUAUUCUAUUUGUAUAAAUUUAUUUUAGGAACUCAAAUGCAGUGAAGCUUUGCUACAUGCACUCUUUACUGGAUAACAGUGAGGAGAGUGGGCGGGGAGAUAUCCACUCAGUGAAAAGGAGAUUGCAAACCAAAUUUCCAAAAGAAAUAAAGAGAUCAAAAAUUCAGUAAUAUGGUUCUGAAAAACCAAACUGAACAUGAGUUUACGCCAUGAAGUAGCCUUUAUUCUUUAACAUGGAGUGCUCAACAAGAUAAAUGGGAGAAGGAUUUUCAUUAAAAAGAACAGGAAAUUAUGAAACAAAGGCUGGUAAAAAUGAAAAAAAGUUUAAGGAAAAAAAAAAAACAGUUGGGAAAAAUGGAGAAUCAAUGACAAUACUCCAAAAUAUCUUUCAUAGAAAUUCAGUAAAAAUGAAACAGAAGUAAGGGUGGAGAAUCAAUAUUUUGAAAGAUGAUGAUUUAAAAAAUGUACCAGAAUUGAAGAUCAGUUUUUGAGUACUCUGAGUACCAAUUCCAGAAUGAAAAAUAAGUCAAAUAAAAAUAAAUUCAUAAGUAGAUGAAUGACAG